AUGGCCAGCGCCGGGUCAUCGCCAGAGCCGCUGCACGUCGUCAUUGUCCCGUGGCUGGCGUUCGGCCACAUGCUCCCGUACCUGGAGCUCGCCGAGCGGCUGGCGUCGCGGGGACACCGCGUGUCCUACGUCUCCACGCCGCGCAACCUUGCGCGCCUCCCGCCGCUGCGCCCGGCCGCGGCGCCGCGCGUCGACCUCGUGGCGCUCCCGCUCCCGCGCGUCGACGGCCUCCCCGACGGCGCCGAGUCCACCAACGACGUCCCCGACCACCAGCGGGAGCUCCACUGGAAGGCCUUCGACGGCCUCGCCGCGCCCUUCGCGGAGUUCAUGGCUGCCGCGUGCGCCGGCGAGGCCACCAGGCCUCACUGGGUCAUCGCCGACUGCUUCCACCACUGGGUCGCCGCCGCCGCCGUCGAGCACAAGGUUCCAUGCGCGAUGCUUCAACCGACCGCUGCUGUGAUCGCUGCCGCGUACCAGCCGCCACCGGAGCACGCUGGACCGGGCGCUGCGACCCGCCCCCGUUACGAGACGGAGGAGACGGCACCCAUGUACGACGACCAAGGCGCGUCGGGUAUGUCCACCGUCCAGCGUUGGUACUUGACGAAAAAUAGGUGCGCGCUCGCGGUCAUCCGGAGCUGCGUCGAGUGGGAGCCCGAGUCCUUCCCGCUGGUGCCAGAGCUCCUCGGCAUGCCGGUCGUGCCCCUCGGCCUUCUGCCGCCGUCAACCGGCGGAGGCCGCCGUGCGGACGCCACCAACGGAUCAGCAGAGCACGCCACCGUGCGUUGGCUGGACGCGCAGCGGCCCGGUUCGGUGGUGUACGUGGCGCUGGGGAGCGAAGUGCCGCUGCCCCUGGAGCAGGUGCAGGAGCUAGCCCUCGGGCUGGAGCUCGCCGGGACACGCUUCCUCUGGGCUCUCCGGAAGCCCAGUGGAGCCGCCGUCCUGGACGACGGCGCCGACAUGCUUCCUCCGGAUUUCCAAGAGCGCACUCGCGGCCAGGGGCUGGUGACCACGGGGUGGGUUCCUCAGAUGAGCAUCCUGGCGCACGCGGCCGUGGGCGGGUUCCUGACGCACUGCGGCCGGAACUCGCUGAUCGAAGGGCUCCUGUUCGGUCACCCUCUCGUCAUGCUGCCCAUCUUCGGCGACCAAGGCCCGAAUGCGCGCCAAAUGGAGGCGAAGAAGGCGGGGUUGCAGGUGGCGAGGGACGAGAGCGAUGGGUCGUUCGACCGCCAUGGCAUCGCGAGCGCGGUCCGGGACGUCAUGGUUGACGGGGAGGCAAGGAGGAGAUUCGUGGCAGGUGCAGCGAAGAUGCAGGAGGUGGUAGCUAAUUCGGAACGGCAGGAGCGGUACAUUGACGAAUUUGUGCAACACCUUCGAUCUCACUGCCGCUACUCCGUGAACAAUAAGGGAAAAUUUUGUGUUUGA
This 1422-nucleotide ribosomal RNA is filed under the name Triticum aestivum (bread wheat). RNAcentral describes it as "partial small subunit ribosomal RNA". Lineage: Eukaryota; Viridiplantae; Streptophyta; Magnoliopsida; Poales; Poaceae. The record is from RNAcentral.